This 530-nucleotide ribosomal RNA is filed under the name Coriocella herberti. RNAcentral's name for it is "partial large subunit ribosomal RNA". It matches the Rfam family "Bacterial large subunit ribosomal RNA", at positions 1815 to 2619 of the family's 2925-position model. Lineage: Eukaryota; Metazoa; Mollusca; Gastropoda; Littorinimorpha; Velutinidae. The record is from RNAcentral.
AUGGCUCUUUGAAAAUAUAUAAUAAAGAGUCUAGCCUGCCCAGUGGUUAAUUUAACGGCCGCGGUACUCUGACCGUGCGAAGGUAGCAUAAUCAUUUGUCUUAUAAUUGAAGUCUGGAAUGAAUGGUUUAACAAGAGCUAAACUGUCUCUAUUAAUAGGAUAAAAUUUUAUGAUUAAGUUAAAAAGCUUAAAUAUAAUUAAAAGACGAGAAGACCCUAUCGAGUUUAAGGAAAAUAAUUAAAAUUUUUAACAUUGAUGAAUACUAAAUAUUUAAUAAAACUUUAGUUGGGGCGAUUCAGGAACAAAUAAAGCUUCUUGUAAUUAAAAUCUAUUGGUAAAUACACGAUCCAUAAUUUGUGAUUAAAAGAAUUAAUUACCGUAGGGAUAACAGCAUUAUCUUUUUUGAGAGCUCAAAUCGAAAAAAAUGUUUGUGACCUCGAUGUUGGACCAAGAUAUCCUGAAGAUGUAGAAGUCUUUAAAGGUUGGUCUGUUCGACCAUUAAAAUCUUACGUGAUCUGAGUUCAGACCGG